GAUGAUCAGGCUCAGAGCCAUUACAAGGCUCUCUGGAGGAGCUAUGGGCAUCACAUAGAUUAUGUGAACUUCCAGUUCUACUCAUACGAUACGUCCACCACUGUCACUCAAUUUCUGAAGUAUUUUGAGGAGCAGAGCUCUAAUUAUGAAGGAGGUAAGGUGCUGGUGAGCUUCCUCAGCCAUGAGAGUGGUGGGUUAGCUCCAAAUAAAGGCUUCUUUACUGCUUGUGAGAGGCUCAAGAGCCAGCACAAGCUCCAUGGCAUCUUUGUUUGGUGCGCAGAUGACUCCCUGGCAAACGGGUUCCCCUAUGAGAAGAAAGCGCAGUCGCUUUUAGCAUCUGCAAGCUAAAAUCAUAAUCUAUUUGGAAUUGCCAUUAGGCUUGAACAAUUAUCUACUGUAACCGUAUUUCAGAUUGUGUUCCACAUGUUUGUCAGAAUGCUUCAAUAAAGUUGUUCCCCGCGUUUUUGUGUUUGUGCUCUAUAAUGAAUUUGAUCUUAUAUUUCUAGAGGUCCAUGUCAUAGUUUGUGGGCAAACUGAAAACCCCAUCAUGAAAAUGCUCGUUGCUUCUUGUGAUUAGCAUUCUCUUUCCAGAGAAAGUGAUCCCCACUCCUCAGUGAACACUAACUGGGUUGAAAACCUAAAAACCUAAAAACCAGGGAGUCCCUCAAAAUUUUCAGACUAAGCCAACAAACAGGAUUCACAUUUGGGGCUCAGAGAAAUGUCAAUAAGAGCAGAAGAGUCUAGAAAGCUUCUCCGCAAAGGUGUUGGUUAGAUAAUUGGCUAAUGCUUCAAGUGGUCAACAACUCAUUAAAUCAAAGGAGACAAAAUUGAUUUGAUGGCUUAAGAGGGAAAACUCAACCCAGAUCUAAAAGCAAUGGGAUGUGUGUAAACUGAAGGAGAAGAUCAAGAAUGCAAAGACACCAAAUUUUGAUCCAGACUCAAAAUCAUGCAAAAGUAAACAUGGUUACCACAGUGCUAUAAGAGCAUUUUGGUUUCAUUUGGCCCCCCAACUAAAGUUCGUGUGUAUAAAAAUCACUCACAACAGCCUCCUAGUCAUUCAAUAACACUCAACUAAACAACUUCUAAAACUUAAAGAUUGCUCUGAAAUAGAUUAAACAAGAGCAUUAUCCUUUUAACCAACCAACCCUAAAUGUUUUGAGUGGUGACUUGUUAGAACUUAAAAGUAAGUUGCCAAAAAAUGCCUGUGUAAUGUGCAGCAAGAAGAUUGAGGAUGAACAAUAUGGCAAUAUUUUCCUUCAAUGCCCUGUCACUUGUGGAUAAGAGGUGAAUGUUCACCCCUCCAACCAAAGACAGGAGACAGUAAAUUUUCCUGUAAAAUUUUGGACAACUAGCCUGCUGUCAUAUGAAGAAUCUUGUACUUCGAAGUUCUUCCCUCAACCCAUGCCAAUAUAAAGGAAAGAAACUGAACUUUCAUAUUGCUAACCCUAAAGCUAUACAUCAUCUACAACGUGUUUAGAUGAAUGUGAUAUCUUGCAUUUAAGGGUAGAGUCCACCAAACUUCUUAUACAUUCUAAAGCCAUGAGGAUAAAAAAGAGAGUUCAGAAUGGAAAUCAUCCAUAGUUUAUUGAGAUAAUUUUAUCACCUUCUGAAAUACUAUUACUAAAUGUUACAAAUUUUCUUGUUUUGAGGUAAUGUACUUGCAACACCAUACUUGCAUAUGCUUUAAAAACUAAGCCUGGCUCCCCCUUUAGCAGCCCAAUGUUCUUGUGGUCCAGUCCCAGCGAUUUCCUUGCUUGAAUGACCCCCAUAAAUAACAAAUCACCAUUCCCACAAUUUUUUUCUUGGGAUAUAACAAUAACUCUUGGAACAGACCAAAGUGACUAUGAACCUUUGCUGAGUGCAUUGGACAGCUUAUUAAAACCCCCAAGAGGAAUGGAGUCAUUUCUUUUGCUUCCGUAGCUCCAUCUGAUGAUGAUCAAGUUCAUAGCCAUUACUUGGCUCUCUGGAGGAGUUAUGGGCAUCUCAUUGAUCAUGUGAACUUCCAGUUUUAUGCUUGCGACCCUCAGUUUAUGAAAUACAGUCCUCUAAUUAUGAAGGAGGUAAGGUCUUGACCAGCUUCAUUAGUGAUAAGAGUGGGAGGUCACCUCCAGAUGAUGGCUUCUUCAUUGCCUGCAAUAGGCUCAAGACCCAGCACCAGCUUCAUGGUAGCUUUGUUUGGUCCGCAGAUGACUCCAGGGCAGGAGGUUUCCGCUAUAAGAAGCAAUCACAAGCACUAUUAGCAAUUCCCCACUAGGAUAAUAGUCUGGAAUGUUUGGCAUUGCAAUUUUAAUAUAAUAUAACUGAAAUCCUGUAUUCCUCUUCUAUAUUAUAUUCCCUCUUAUCAGUGAAUAUUCAAGGGUGUUCUCUAUCUGUGCUUCUUGUAAAACAUUGAGCCAUCAUAUUGUAACUCUAUCAAAUAAAUUAUUAGAUGGGGCAUUUGGAAGCAAUGGAAUACGUAAUUAGAAACUUCAUAAUUAGCAGAAGAAAAUUUUCAGAAAGUAAAGUGCAAGAUAAAAUAGAAUGAUAACAAAAACAGAACAUUAAAGUAUUUGCUAGAUUGACACUCAAUGAUAAUAACAUAUGAUCAUACACUAAAAACAUUAAAUCUGUUUUGGAGCCUACGAUGACCUAUUCCAUAUUCUAGGUAAGUGGAUGAACUUCAUUACUAGAUGAGAACCAAAUUUGAGGCAACACUUAAUGCCCGUAUUGACUAGAAUACGAACGUUCGUAUCAAGUGAAGUGAAGAAAUUCAUCACUCAAGUAAGGUAUUUCUUGAUCCAUUUUACAAGCCAAGGUGAUAUCAGUGCAAGGGCAAUUAUAUUAGUACAGGUUGCCAUAUAUGUCUGAAUGGAUUGGAACGAAGGGAUGAAGGAAAGGAAGGACCAAUGAAGGCAAAUACCCUAUCCCAUGGGGCUGACCUCCAACCAUCAAAGAAGGGAUUGGACUCAGGUAGGCAAGGCAGGAACUUUCAUAUUUACUUAUUUAGGAGUUUUUCCCAGCUAAGGCCCCGAUUUUCAAGCUGCUUUUCAACGUUUUUCUUGAGAAAAAAAUGAGUUGAUUUCUAUUCAUUCAUCUCUUAUUUUCUCAAUUGAUUGAGUUUGGGUGAAAACCCUUUUUUUUUUUUUUUUAGUGAGCUUCAAGAGGAGGCCAAGAUCAAGCUUGGUGAGGAUGCUGAGUACGUUCCAAAAGAUGAAGGUAUGUAGAUGAAGUGUGAAGGUGCUGGUCAAGUAAUCCAUGAAGGAUUAGAAGACUUGAGCUAGGUAAAACCUUAUACACAUUGUUUGUUCUUCAUAGUAGAAUUUUUUAUCAAUUGUAGGCCCAUGGUUUUUUUAUCUCUUCAGAGGUUUUCCAUGUAAAUUCUGGUGUCACUGUCUUUCUCUUAUUCUCCUUCUUGAUGAAUGUUCAGAUUUAAUUUUUCAUUUUAUACUUGUGGAUAUAGUUGAAUGAAAUAACAAUGAGCUAAUAUAGGUGUGAUUUUAUUUGGAUAUUAUGGAUAGUUUCCUUGUUUAUUUGGGGCAGUGUUCUUCAGUAGAAUUGGAAACUUGAGUCAAGGAGAAAUUGUUCCUAUGAACUGUGUUGGGGAAUGCUGAUGCAAUUGAAAGUGACUUGCUGAAAAUUGUAGGGGGAAUGUUGGUACAUUUAUACUUGCAUGUGAUUUUUACUUUGUGUUGGAAAGUGUUUGAAGAAAAAAGAAAAAAUUGUGAAAAAUUCUAAGGUUUGAUGAUUUGUGUUAAGAGACCUUUUAAAUUGUUUAACAACACCUAUUCACCCCCUCUCUAGGUGUUGUCCAUCUUUGAGAUUCACCUUCACUUCCAUUAUAGUAGUUGAAACAACCUAUACUCAAGGUUAAGUUAAAUCUCAGGUUGAUUACAUUGCAUCUAUAGGCCGUUUAUAUCUUUUAUUCAUAUCUUCCGUUUUCAUCCAAUUACGAACUCAACAAAUGGCCAAGAAUCAAGUCUUCCAUGAAUAUCAUAAAGUUUUCUACCUAUCAUCCCUUUCUUUUUAAUGUGUUGCCACAUGUUUAGAGAAGCAAAAGGACUUCAAUAAUUUCCUGCACCAUCUAAAGAAUGAUUCAACUUCUAGAGACAGUGAUAGGUUCAAAAGGCCACCAUCGAAGAAAAGAAAGUUUUCCCAUACAAAGUCUGGAAUGACUAUGAAGAAUGAAGGAAUUAAUUUAGUGUUGUAGGAGGUUGAUUGAUGACAUCUUUUGUGAAGUAUUGACCAUUAGUUUAUAAGUUGUCAACAGCACCAUGGUUGACCAUUAGGAUGAUAAAAACUUCACUAUGAGUUCAUUUUCACAAGGUAAACUGAUGGUGGUUAUUCCUCACGGUUUCUAGAAUGGUCUCGAAUCCCCAAGUUUGGUGAUGCCCCACUUUGUAGUGCACGGAUGGUAGCUCAAGGAGUGGUAAUUUUGAUACCAGAUGAUUAACAUUGCACAGGAUUGAUCACAAAUUGCAUGACAUUAUCACUUAUCAUAACUUUUAUAGUUAUAUGCUCUGAUUUUGCUAUUCACAGUCAGAGACAGUAACUUUGUAGUAUGAUUUAAUUAUUAUAUUUAUUUUGGCACGACAAUAUCAUACAACUUGACUGAUUUAGACUGAUUCAUAUACAAGUGCUGAUAUCAUGUACAUACUCCUAUACAUUGACCUACUAUGAGUGUGAAGUUUUUGUUAGCAUGCAGGAACUUUGUAAGUUGCUGACAUACAUCUACAGGUUAGCUUGUAAUUUUAGCUUGCACUUGCUAAUUCAAGACACGUGUUUGUUUAGUAUUUUAGUUGCUUACAACAAAUAUGUAUACACUGACACUGUCACUGAAAUAUGAUCACUUUAUUUUUAUUGACAACUACACAUUUGACAUUGUCAUCCUUCAUGCAACUAGACCAUGUAAUAAAGUAACUUUCACCUGUAGUUACAUCAUAUGUAUUAUACAAUUCUAUCAAAUGACAUUAAAUUAGUGGGGACUUAAAUUGUCAUGCAUAUCGCCAAGGCAAAAUGUCCAUCAAGGCGAAAUGCCCAAACAAGACGAAAAGUCCAAUGAAGGCAAAAUACCCAACAAAGUGAAAUGUCCAAUAAGGCAAAAUGCCCAUUAAGACGAAAUGUCCAAUAAGGGAAAAAUGUCCAAUCAAGGUGAAAUGCCCAAGAAGGUGAAAUGUCCAUUAAGAUAAAAUACCCAAUGAAGGCCAAAUAACCACCCAAGGCCAAAGGCUCAACAAAAAAUUGAGGAAGAUCAUGUACCUUCAAGGAUUGAAAAGUCCGUCUAAAAUCGUAAAGUCUAUAUAAAGUCAAAAAGCUCAAAAAAAAAUCAUAGGAUGGUUGUGUGCUUCCUAAAGUACUUGGGCACACCUUAUGAUCACAACUUUUGCUUAAGAUAAAAAGUUGAAGCAUCAUACAUUCCUUACAGUCAUAUAAACCAUCCUUGGAAAGAACUAUUCAUCAUGAGUUUAAAAAUAAUAAUAAUAAUAAAAGUAGUAAUAAUAAUAAUAAUAAAUAAAAUCAUCAAUGUAGCCCCACUUGAGGGCAAAGAGCUUCAUCAAAUCAUUUUUCCGCCUAUAAAUUCUCUAGAGACAAAUAUGUAGGCAAGAAAAAAGGGGCAAGUAAAGGGACCAGGUUUUGAACUCGUAAUCCCAUGAACAUGGGAUGAGGAAACUCAUCUUCCCAUGAACACAAGAUAAGGAGAAUUAUCUUCUCUAGUCUAAGGUCUUGAAAAUACAAGCUUUAGGAUUCAUCUCUAAGUGUCACAUGCCAUGGAGAAGUAUGUAAAGGGUGAGUUAAACUCAAAGAAGAUAACUUGAGUUAGCAUGAACGUAAGCACCAUGUUCGUUCAUUGUGAAAGGAAUAGGAAUCAAAACCCAAGUUCCCAAAGAAGACAAACCUUGCGGCCAAAUGAUGAUACGAUAUGUGGCAAAAAGCAAUACUAUGUAGUGAUAGGGAGAUUCUCUUUUUUUAUUACAAAUUUAAAAAACUUAUUAGUAAAACUAAAAAUUAAUCUGCCCCAAUUACAAAAAUAACAAAUAAAUGGAAGCAAGUCCCCCGAGAUCUUAGCAAACAUGAGAAGGAUGUAAAAAAUAAUAAUAAUAAUAAUUAGCCAUAUUCCACUAGUCCUAUGGUGUCACCACGUGAGGUCAUACGAAAAAACACAAGUCAUAAUUCCCGUACCAUUUAACAUCCCAAUGUGGACAAUCCUACUAGAGGGCAAGCAACCCUUCCAAAAUAAAACGUUUAAAGAUAAAACACUUUUUUUUUCACUUUAAAAACUCCUUGACUGAGCUCACAUGUGAGAAAAAGGGGGCAAGUGAAGUGGACGAACUUCAUUACUAGACGAGAAUUGAAUUUUGAGGCAACACAAACUGCCCAUAUUAACCAGAAUACAAACUUUCGUAUUAAGUGAAGUGGAUGAACUCCAUCACUCUAAGUAAGGUAUUUCGUGUACCAACCUACCCGAGUACUUGUGUGUGCAACAAAACAAGAAUUUGUGUUAUCACUAACACAGGUCUCUUUGUCUAUAAUGGGAAUCCUUCUAUUAAACCAGCCUCUAUUUGGAAGAAGACACGUGGCAUGAGAGUCUCCUAUAAAUAGAGGAGUCCCUAAAACAAAAGAGAGUUAGUUUUUAGACAUUACAAUAGGCAACUUGGUAGAAAAAAGAAAAGUAUUGGUUAAGACCCUAGAAAGACGAAAAACACCUAUAGAAUAUGGCUUAUAGACUCUGUAUAGUUUAGUUCAACCUUUUCUUUUGAUAACUGAAUAAUUAGUUUUAAAGGGCUAACCUAGAUGAACUACAAACUAAAAGAAAAAGAACAGAAAGGACAAAGAAAAGGAAUACCUCAUACAUGGAAUGUGCCCAAAGAGAUUCAUCUCUCUCCCUUUCUUUUCUCCUUCACCUUGAUCUAAUCCUAAACAGGGCCACCAGCCUGUGAUUUGGGAGAUAAAUAUAAACAUAAGAGAAUCCAAAGGCCUUGAAUAAAAAAAUUAUCAUAGAAUCCAAUGUAUCAAAUAAAAAACCAAAAUCAAUAUACAUAAAUUAAUCACAUGCAGUUGCCAAGAAAGAUAUAUCCUUUUUCUUUUUUUUUCCCUUUUUUAUAGGUGACCAAGAAAGGUCUAUCUAAAAAGAAAAGAAAUCUGAGUUCUGCAUUUUAGCAUAAAUUUUAGGAACCUAAAAAACCAAACUCCACCCAUGUAACUAUGGCUUAGAGGCUUUUACUUUUCUCUUAGCAUAUCUUAGAGCAACAAUAUCCUCUCAGAAAUAACUCAAACUUCAUCAUGAUAAAGAAGUUGAAAACAAAUUUGGUAUGAAUGUAAGAGUCUGAUCACAUGGAUCAAAAGCACCUAAUUUCACACCAAAUUAUGUAUUCUACAGCUCUAGUGGCAUGGCUUUCAUAACAAGACCAAGAAUAAAGAAGAUGACAAAGAAUAAAAGGUAGAAUUCAUUUAGCUUUUAGGGUAUAUAGCUAGCUAGAUUGACAUUUAUUUUAUCAUUCCAUUUGUUAAUCAUCAUUCUACAGUAUGAGGGAAAUAUUAUGAAAUGGUUAAAAUUUUCAGUGCUUACCUUCAAAACUUUAUCAUGGAUAAUGUGAGUGGAUAAUUCAUCCUAUCUACAGGAAACCAGAAAAGGCAAAAAAAACCAGGAAGAUUAGAAAGUUGAGAUCAAGUGCUAGAAAUCAUGACUAUCAUGAUAAUCACAAAAAUUGGAUGAGAGGAUGGUGAUGCAGAUAUAUGCUACCUACACCGGACGACAAAAUGUAAGCAAAGGAGGUAUCACUUCUUUCACAUUAAUCAUUUCUACAGAGUUACACCACAUUAAUUGGCAACCCUGUGGAAUCUAAACACAGGCACAUGUUUAUUCAUUUAUUUGCUAAGUUGCAACACUUUGUAUAUUCUAUCUGUAUGUGGAAGAAUUUAGAGGAAAAUAGUGACAGCAAUAAUGAAUUUUGCAAAGUUCCAUAAAACAAGGCUUCAAUAAACUCAUCCUCUCGGGCAAUUGAUGAGUAAAUAUAGGCAGGAUACUUUUUAAUUGCCCAAAUCAAUCUAAAAAAAUGACAUAAAAGAGUGUCAAUAAGCAACCUGAGAAUUGUGGGUGAGGAGAAGUCUCCAACAAGUCAUAGCUUCAGCCUGUUUUGGAUGCAUUCCUAGGAAUUCAUGGAAGCAAAAACCUGAUUGUUAAAACAGACACAAGUGACAAAUUGUAUGAAUUAAUGCUAGUCUGAGAGGUCAUAUCCUGAAUUUUCCUGAAUUUUCCACAUCCAAUUAGUUCCGAAUCUUUUACAUGCCGCUAUGUUAAGGAUUUUCUUCCAACUUUUAGUUUCAGUUUUGCACAGUUAAGGAUACAAAUUUCAUGGUGACCACUGCAAAACAGAGCCAAUUAUGAUUCAGAGAGAGGCCAUAGAUGGAGGAAAAACAUUAUAAUCAAUGAAUUAUGUGUGUGUGUGUGUGUGCACGCAUGUGUACAUAUAUAUUAUGCCAACUGGUGCAAUUUAAUUGGAUUUUAGAAUCUUGCUGUUCACUUUUGUGUAGUAUUAUACUCUUAUUAGCAUCUUAAUAAAGCUGUUCUCUUCACACAGAUUUCCCAAAAUGCUUUUCCCACAAAGUUAUUGAGCUUUUUAUCACAUCUUUCAGAGAAGCAUUUCUAAGUCUGUUGGGAGAGUAGAUCAAGUUCCUAAAAAGCAAGAUAGGGAUAAACAAAAUAUGACAAAUACAGAACACAAGUAUUAGAAACAAAAUUUGAAAUUUGCUUCUUUGCACAAACAAAAGAAAGUGCAAGUUGCUUGAGUUGGUCUCACUUGAAAACAGGAUGUAUGUAGCAGAUUCGCUAUAGAUCUUGAAGACCAUGCCUGCGGAAAUGGCACGGAACCAGAUUGGCUUGUUUUAAUUUCCUUAUUGCCCUCACCUUCGAAGUCACCACAGUAUAUAUUUGCGUCCAACAAUAGUCCAUUUCCCAUGAACAAUAAUGGAGCUCCUUAAGGUUUUUAUCACCCUUUUCAUUCUCCAAGCUCUCUGCAUCUCCCCGAGAUCAAUGCAAGCAGCUGCCAAGAACUCUAAGCUCUUUCAAGAAUACAUUGGAGCACAAUUUAACAAUGUCAAAUUUAGUGAUGUCCCCAUCAACCCAGAUGUUGAAUUCCACUUCAUUCUCGCCUUUGCAAUAGACUACUCCAGCCCCAGCACUCCUUCAAACUUUCCCACCAAUGGAAAAUUCAAUAUCUUCUGGGACGAACAGUAUCUCACCCCCGCCCACGUUUCUUCCAUCAAGAGUCGUCAUUCAAACGUCAAAGUACGUCUCAGCCUAGGAGGGGCUACUGUGGGAAGCAAGCUUGUUUACUUCAAGCCUUCUUCAGUGGAUUCCUGGGUUUCUAAUGCUGUUACUUCUCCAGUUCCAUUUGGAUGGAAUUGAUGUUGAUUAUAAGCAAUUCAGAGAUGAUCCCGAUACCUUCACCCAUUGCAUUGGACGCCUUAUAACAACCCUCAAGAAGAAUGGUGUUAUCUCAUAUGCUUCUAUAGCUCCCUACGACGAUGAUCAAGCUCAGAGCCAUUACAAGGCUCUCUGGAGGAGCUAUGGGCAUCUCAUAGAUUAUGUGACUUCCAGUUCUACUCAUACGAUACGUCCACCACUGUCACUCAAUUUCUGAAGUAUUUUGAGGAGCAGAGCUCUAAUUAUGAAGGAGGUAAGGUGCUGGUGAGCUUCCUCAGCCAUGAGAAUGGUGGGUUAGCUCCAAACAAAGGCCUUCUUUACUGCCUGUGAGAGGCUCAAGAGCCAGCAAAAGCUCCAUGGCAUCUUUGUUUGGUGUGCAGAUGACUCCUUGGCAAAUGGGUUCCGCUAUGAGAAGAAAGCGCAGUC
This 9826-nucleotide long non-coding RNA is filed under the name Vitis vinifera (wine grape). Its description in RNAcentral is "long non-coding RNA (VVIN_LNC001718)". Lineage: Eukaryota; Viridiplantae; Streptophyta; Magnoliopsida; Vitales; Vitaceae. The record is from RNAcentral.